This 448-nucleotide ribosomal RNA is filed under the name uncultured bacterium. RNAcentral describes it as "bacterial SSU rRNA". It matches the Rfam family "Bacterial small subunit ribosomal RNA", at positions 28 to 456 of the family's 1533-position model. The record is from RNAcentral.
GAUGAACGCUGGCGGCGUGCUUAACACAUGCAAGUCGAACGAAGCACUUUAUUUGAUUUCCUUCGGGACUGAUUGUUUUGUGACUGAGUGGCGGACGGGUGAGUAACGCGUGGGUAACCUGCCUCAUACAGGGGGAUAACAGUUGGAAACGACUGCUAAUACCGCAUAAGCGCACAGGGUCGCAUGACCUGGUGUGAAAAACUCCGGUGGUAUGAGAUGGACCCGCGUCUGAUUAGCCAGUUGGUGGGGUAACGGCCUACCAAAGCGACGAUCAGUAGCCGACCUGAGAGGGUGACCGGCCACAUUGGGACUGAGACACGGCCCAAACUCCUACGGGAGGCAGCAGUGGGGAAUAUUGCACAAUGGGGGAAACCCUGAUGCAGCGACGCCGCGUGAGCGAAGAAGUAUUUCGGUAUGUAAAGCUCUAUCAGCAGGGAAGAUAAUGACG